GAUAACCCAGUGCGCUGGCGGGCCCCCUGCUUAAGUGCGGCCGACCGCGAGUGCAGCGGGAUAUGCUUCGUUCGUGAAAUCCCAAAAUCAUCGGGGCUCCGCACGAUGCGGAGGGCAUAUUCGGUGGGUUGUAUCGCAUAGCCGGCACGCGGCAACUUGGUGACCCUACGUUGGUAACGUCAUGUCCUCCUCCUCUCUCUCGCCCGCUCCCCUCGGACGGGCGGGGAGCGAGAAGCGGCCUCUUACGACGUCCCGUUCGUCCUCGGCGGCGCUUGCAGUCGCACGUGUGCGCACGUGCUUGCCUGCUUCGUCCGUCCGUCUGGACCUCGGGACGGUCGAGUGCUUACGGAUGCGGUGAAUUUGAUGGGAGUCGGGUGGGCGCACGCACACGCUGUUGCCGACCCGACGAAUGGAAGGUGUUUGCGCACGCCGCGAGCGGGCAAACGGAACGGAAUGAACGACCGCCGGCGGGCGGGCGGGCGUGCGUCGUCAUCGAUGGGCUGGCUGCGCCGUCCUGUCCGCGGGCGUCGUCUCUCAGGGUUCGCUACCUGGUUGAUC
This 558-nucleotide unclassified non-coding RNA is filed under the name Philodendron davidsonii. RNAcentral describes it as "partial external transcribed spacer". The record is from RNAcentral. Lineage: Eukaryota; Viridiplantae; Streptophyta; Magnoliopsida; Alismatales; Araceae.